Molecule: long non-coding RNA, 29484 nt
Filed under: Ananas comosus (pineapple)
Lineage: Eukaryota; Viridiplantae; Streptophyta; Magnoliopsida; Poales; Bromeliaceae
Description: long non-coding RNA (ACOM_LNC004375)
Source: RNAcentral
UUUAUAUUUUAUCUUUUCCACCUUUUAUGUGAUCCAUGAAUUUCAUUUUAAUUACCUUUAUGCUCCUUUGCAGUUUGUAGUUUCAUGUAUUUUGGUCAAAGAGAUGCAGCAAUUAUGCCGUAAGUUAGCUGUGUUCUAAAUGGUCCCAACCAUGCAGGGAGGAGCUAUAAGGUACUGAUAUAAUGGACUGGUAAGUUACACUACUUAUCGACAUCUGAAGUUCUCUCUAAUUAAUGACUAAUUCCAAUGUUUUGUUUCACUCUUUAGUUGAAAGAAUUUUGUCUUCUGAACAGGUAUGUAUGUUUCCUAUUAGUUAUAGCUCCUUUUAUCUUACAGCCUGCAAGAUCUUCCUGUCAGGGUAGGAUUAAAUAUGUCUUCGCGUGAGAUAUACGGCACAUUAGAAUUACUUGAAACUUCAUCUUUAUAAACAAUUUCUCAUGGCCUACAACUCAAGUCUCAGGUUCCCAAAACGUUGGUGGUUCGGUGCUCUUUCUCAUCUAUUUAAGCUUAUCUAAUAAUAUACCGCGAGAGGAGAAUACGUGAUUUUGAUCCAUGUUUAACAAUGAGGUACUUUUAACUCAGAUGUUCAUCUAAGAGACGUUAAUCUAUCGGCCAAGUUUUAAUUCUAAUGUAUAAACUUUUACUGUUUUUCCCUUGUAACAGGCAUAAUUCAAAACAAAUCUUCUUGACCAGUUUGAAAUGAAGUUUGAGACUGUUUUCAUUAAUUUAUGAACUUGUGCAUCGCAAGUCCCUUUUUUUUUUUUUUGGAAAGAUUUGAUUAACUGUUUCAUCUGGGCAUAAUCCAAAAAAAAUCUUCUUGUCCAGUAGAAAUGGGAUUCGAACCUGCUUUUGCAAGAAUUCAAAGAAAGAACUUUUGCAUUUAAGGAGAAAUUUGAACUCGUUCAUGCAAUAUAUAAUCUCUGGUAUGAUUCCUCAACUGUAUAUAUUUUCUUUCCGAAACUGUAUUAUAUCACUAAUCUGUACUAUAUUACUAGCUUAAAAAAAAUAGAGCUUCAUAUGUUGCAUUUAUUAUCUAUUUAAUUAAUUGGUCAUUUGUUGGGACAGGUUGGACUCGGCUAGUCCUCUAACAUUCUUCCAUCCCGAUUUUUCUCACUAAAGGAAUCACAGGAAACUAAAUCCGUUUAAAAUUCAUAAGGCGUGUUAAUGGUUCACUGGCUGAUCUCAUUAUCUUUCACCUAGCAUUUGUCGAACUAGGCUCGAAGGUUGUUUUUUAUUUUAUUUUCUAUCCUUUGGAGACCACAAGAAUUUAUAUUUUAUAUUUUCUACCUUUUUAUGUAUUCCAUGAAUUUCAUUUUAAUUACCUUUCUUCUCCUUUGCAGUUGUAGUUUCACAUAUUUUGGCCAAAGAUAUAGCAAUUAAGCUGUAAGUUAGCUGUGUUCUAAAUGGUCUCAACCAUGCAGGAAGGAGUUAUAGGGUACCGAUAUAAUGGACUUGUAAGUUACACUAUUUAUCAACAUGUGAAGUUCUCUCUAAUUAAUGUUCUCUCUAAUUAAUGACUAAUUCCAGUGUUUUGUUUCAUUCUUGUGAAUAGUUGAAAGGACUUUUUCUUCUGAACAGGUAAAUGUAUGUUUCCUAUAUUUAUAGCUCCUUUAUUUACAGCCUACAAGAUCUUAUUGUCAGGGUAGGAUAAAAUAUGUCUUGGCAUAUACAGCGUAUUAGAAAUACUUGGACCUCUAUCUUUAUAAACAAUUUCUCAUGGCCUACAACUCAGAAAUUUGAUUAGGCGAUGCCUAGAAUUCAGGUUAUUCCGCUUCUCCUAAUUCUUCUGGUCAAAUUGUUUGUGACCUUUUUCCUCAAAAGCACUAGGAUCUCCUACCCUCGUUUUAAGAAAAUGCAAUGCAUAAUGUAUAUAUUCAGUAUAAUAUGUUACACCUGAUAUGCAAACUGAUCACCUCAUUGCAGGAUUAAGGAGCAUAAUGUUAUAAUACUUGCUUUCAUUUCCUUUCUUUCUUCAUGAGCCAAAGAGUUUUCUGUUUGUGCGUUUAACAGUAUUUCUAAUCAUUCACUGCACUGUUUCAUUAGAAACUUUAGAAUAGAAGUUUGAGAUGGGCAGAUCUGCAUGUGUAAGCAGGUGCGUAUAUUUAAUGGGCGUUUUAACCCUCUUUGCAAGGAGUUAACAUGAAGACACUAUGGUCUAUCAGCUGAUUUUACUAGAUAGUCUAAUAACAAUCUGUCUUGGUUUCUAUGCUUAAUACUUAUCGUCCAUAUAUCUUAUUUGCAGUUAAUCUAAAGUCAUCUUGUGCAAGCGAUUUACUUACUCAGUUUUUAUUUUAGAGAUGUUAACGCAACUUCUGCUAACUUGCGAUCUACUAGAGUAUCGAUUACUAAAUUUGUUAACGCACUUUUGAACUCUGUUUCAUCAUGAUGCAGUUUCCUGGUACAAUCUCCAAUUUCUGUCACUUGCAUAUUUGAUAUUUCUUUUGUGAGAAGCUCGUCUUAAAACAUGUUUUACUGUGCCAUUUUCUGUACAUGUUGGUAGAAUGAUAGGGCAUUUAAAUGUUGGUCACUAGUCGAACAAUACCCUCAAUGGAUAGAAAUUGCAACUGCUAUUACUACUAUUGGAAAUCUAUAUGAAUUGUAUGUAAAAUUUCUAUCUUAACAUACUGGCAUAGCCAUGCACAGCAAGGACAAAUACGCUUUUGGGGAUCAUUACAUUCUUUGAUUGUUAGAAUAAGAAGAUGAUAACUUGCUAGGGAGAAAGUAACUAACCAUAAAUAAACCCUAUAUUAGCAGCUGAUUAGUGCUGUUUAAUCCAUAUUUGUAUUUAAACUUCUUCUUCCUUCUAUAUUUGCAGCUGAGAACUUGCGAAAAGUUGAUCAGUGUGUAUCAAGUCAGUGUGUAAGAUUCGAACAAAUACAAAAUUCCUGUCGGGUAUGCGCUUUUCCUUUUUUGAAAGGUUGGGGGGGUUCCUCCAACACUAUAUUGGUUGAGUAUUACACUAAUGGAUAUACUUUUCUUGUCUCUUUUGGGCAAGCCCUGAUAGUUGCAUGGUGGCUGGACGAAGCGCCAAAACCUACAACCAAGUCGCAAGUGCUAGUCAUUUUUCCAGUUUAAAAGGCAUUAUGGGACAAUUAAAUGAGAUAUAAUGCUUCAUCUAAAGACUGCUCUCUGUUUAAUUGUUAUUUGCGAUUUCUUUCACUUUUGAUUGUUGUUGCGAUCAGAUUUUCAUAACUGGGUCUUAUUACUAAGGAGAUUAUUUUCGCAAGCAGAUUUCCUGAGUCUUAGGUUCCCAGAAUGUUGGUGGUUCGGUGUUCAUCUUCUGUUGGCCACAACAAGGUACCAGUGUGCACCAAUCAUUUAGUCGUUUAUUUAAGCUUAUCUAACCAUAUACCAAGAGAGGAUAAUAUGUGAUUCUGAUCCAUGUUUAACAAUGAGGUAUUUUUGACUCAGAUGUUCAUCUGAGAGACGUUAAUCAAUCGGCUAAUAUAUAAACUUUUUACUUUUUUUCUCAAAGCAUAAUUAAAAACGAAUCUUCUUGUCCAGUUUAAAUGAAGUUUGAGCCUGUUUUUACUAAUUUAUGAACCUUGUGCACUGCAAGUCUUUAAAAAACUUUUUUUUGAAAGGUUUGAUUAACUGUUUUAUCUGAGAACGGCGUAAUCCAAAACAAAUCUUCUUUCUAGCUGAAAUGGAAUUCAAACCUUUCUAGCUGAAAUGGAAUUCAAACCUGCUUUUGCAAGCAUACAAAGAAAGAACUUUUGCAUUUAAGGAGAAAGUUGAACUUGUUCAUCUAAAAAUUUUAUCUCUGGUAUGAUUCCUUAACUGUAUAUAUAUAUAUUCCUGAACCUGUAUUAUACCACUGAGCUUGUACUAUAUUACUAGCUUAAAAAAAAAAAAAAUAGAGCUUCAUAUGUUGCAGUUGUUAUCUAUUUAAUUAAUUGGUCAUUUAUUGAAACAGGAUGACUCGGCCGAUUGCGCUAGAACAUAACGGAAGGCUUUUAGAUUUUGUCAUAAAGCUAGCUCUCAAACUCAUAAAGUAACUUAGGGGUGUGAAACAGCUAAACAGAGUAACCGGAUCUAAGGUCUAGGUCCGGUUUAGAUUUUCUUUAUCAUUUUGAGAAAAAAAAGCGGUUUGGUUUGGGUCAAUAUGGUAGGAACCGCAUAAUUUUGAUUCAGGUUUUGGUUCUGAUCAUGAGAAUCGGCUUAAACCAGACCAACCGGUUAGUGUUUCAUAUAUUUUAAACUGAACGGUUUGUUCUACUUAAUUAGCCCAUUACACGUAACGUUGGAAAGCUAACCUGCGCAUUAUUAAGUGAUGAAGCGCAGGAUAAGCAUGAAGGCAACGGACGAGGGCUAUAUAAUGGUUUCGCGGCCCUUCCGCACGCAAUUCCAAUACAAAUCGGGAACAGUCGCUCUUCUUCCUCUCUCCUCCUCCUUGAUCCCGCCUCGUCGACGACUCCGAAACCUACGAAGCCGAAGCGCGAACGACUCCGAAACCUACGAAGCCGAAGCGCUAUUCCAAUACAAAUCGGGAACAGUCGCUCUUCUUCCGCUCUCCUCCUUCUUGCUCCCGCCUCGUCGACGACUCCGAAAACUACGAAGCCGAAGCGCGAACGAAACCCUAAGGUACUAGCUCGAUUUCUCUUAAUCUUCGAAAGGAGCCUAUCUCUUUUCCGUCCUAAAAAUUUGAUCUCUCUUUUUCUCCCUCCAGUGUGAUGAAGGAUCGGAUCCCUCUUCCACUCCCUCCAUCGAAUCCUCAAUUUGAGCGGACAUUGAUCUCGAUCUCGAUCUCGAACUCUCUUGUCGAUUUGAGAUCGAAGGAUCCCUGAUCAAUUAAAGUCUAUGUACGUGAUCUAAAGGAAGCGAGAUGAUUCUUUGAGGUGAACUAUAUCGUUCAAUACUUGAUCUUGAUUCUGCUGCGUUUGAUUUUGUUGCUGCUUUUGUUCAUGAUUCAUGAACUUGCUGUUUGAAGGAAAAGAUUGAGGAAUUUGCGGAGUUUUGCACCUGGAGAAGAAUGAAUCUGAUUUGUUUUUUUUAAAUUUCGAAAUAACUUUCUAUAUUGCGCCUAAGUACGUUUUGAUCUAAAGAAAGCGAGAUGAUUCUUUGAGGUGAACAAUAUCGUUCAAUGCUUGAUCUUGAUUCUGCUGCGUUUGAUUUUGUUGCUGCUUUUAUUCAUGAUUCAUGAACCUGCUGUUUGAAGGAAAAGAUUGAGGAAUUUGCGGAGUUUUGCACCUGGAGAAGAAAGAAUCUGAUUUUUUAUAAAAAAUUUCGAAAAAACUUUCUAUAUUGCGCCUAAGUACGUUUUGAUCUAAAGAAAGUGAGAUGAUUCUUUGAGGUGAACUAUAUCGUUCAAUGCUUGAUCUUGAUUCUGUUGCGUUUGAUUUUGUUGCUGCUUUUAUUCAUGAUUCAUGAACUUGCUGUUUGAAGGAAAAGAUUGAGGAAUUUGCGGAGUUUUGCACCUGGUGAAGAAGGAAUCUGAUUUUUUUUUUUUAAUUUCGAAAUAACUUUCUAUAUUGCGCCUAAGUUUACUUUCUAGUACUAUUUCACAGUUCCAGCUGAAUUUACUUGCAGGUAGCUGAUUGAUAAACGAACGAGAAGAAGAAAAGGGUUUAGCUGGUAAAUCUGAUGCUUCAACUGAAGUACUAGAAAUAGGCUACUCUUUUCAUCUGAUGUGCUAUCGUGUUUGUGAAUUUCAGAAAAGCCAAUCAAAAAGUUUCUAGUUUCAAAUAGUUUAGACAGAGCUCUCUAGUCCAAAAUAUAUAUGAAUUUUGUGCAUGGUUCUAUCUUAAUAGGCACGCAGGACAAGGGGUUUAUGUAUUGUCUCCUUAGUGACUAACAAUUGGAAAUUUGUUAAAGGAUCUACCUAUAUAGGCUAUCUAACCUCAUCAUGAGUCUGAGGAAAAACAUCUUGCUUCUACUAUUUGAUUGGCUUUGUUGUGUUUAAUUACUCUGAAGAUUAUCUGAUUUAUGUGCUGCUUAUGUUGGUGCUAGCGUGGUGAUAGUGUUAUUAUAGGGAAAUAAAGUAUAUUCUUAUUACAGGGAAAUAAAGUAUAUUCUUCUUCCAGGCAUGCAAACUAUUGAACUUAUGAUGCUUCAUGAGUCUAUUGGAACACUGCUUCUCAACAUUAGAUUUUAAUAGAAUACAUAAACUUUAAUUCAAAAAAAAAAAAAGGAAUCAGAAUCCAUAACUUACAGGAGGCAUGUGGAUUCUACUUUUUCUUUGCAUUUGAAGUUAUUGGAUCAAAAUUGCCAAAUGUUACUAAAUUGUCUGAAUAUUAUUGAAAUUUCUCAUUCUGCUGUUCGCUUUUGAACUCUCCAGGCAUCCAAAUAUGGGACUCAAACUUCAAUCGGCUGGUUAGCUGUUUAAUUUAGAUUUGUAUUUCACUCAAGAUCUGAAUAUCCUGUUGGAUCUCAUGCAAAACUGUUGGAUUUUCUUUUUUUGUCUUAUGAACCAUUUUGAUGGAUUCUUUUCGCUUUUCUGUUUUUCUUUUCUUACUUUAGUUUACAGCUGGGAACUCUGCAAAAAGUUGAUGGGUCUCAAUAUGGUGUGAUAUAUUCGUUUAAAUAUGAAUUUCUUGUUUGGUUUCAUAAAGAAUAUUUUAUUGUUGCAAUGAUGGGUCUUCUUUUGGUUGCACCAUUACAUUGAAAAUGUAAUCGAAUGAAGUGGUAGCAUGCUACCAUUUUCUCAAAAAGGAAAAAGAAAAAGAAAAAUAAAAAGUACUUGGAAAAUGUUGAGUGUCAAAACCCUGCAGCUAGAUAGCAAGAACUGGUCCUAUUGCCAAUUUUUACAUUAUGUGAGAGGCGUAGCGAACAAUGUGAUGGGAAUGGAGUCAGCAAUGUCUAAUACAUAACAGGGCAAGGUACUUGAAGAUACAAUUAGAUUUUCUUUUUCUUUGCUUUCGCUAGAACAAAUUAUGUUGAUAGAUUUUCCAUGUAUUCUUCUUGCAUAUCAUUGCUUCUGCCUUAUCUUAUGUUUUUUCUGGUAAGAUGGGAUACAUUUCUGUCGUUCAAGCUUUUAUUAGGUGAUAAUGUAGUUCUUUCGUAGGCAAGCAACUCAAACAAUCAGUAGAGCAAGCCGUAUGAAUCUUAAACGUGAUGGGCAUAAUAAUGUAACAGAAAUAAAUGCUCUCGAAACUAGGUAGCAUUCAUCUGAAUUUCAUCAUUUUGUCUUUUAUUUAGUUUAUUGCUCCAAUUUAGAUAUUGAAAAUACUGUUUUAGUUGAAACUUGUUAAAAUAGACUCUGCACAAGAGAAGUUUGUUUUGUUUAUCUCUUUGUUAAAUAGGCCCCUAGAUUCUGUACAAUAUCUAAAUCUUUUAAACUACAUUCUCUCUUCUUUUUUCUUUCAAAACUUUGUACUUGGAUACUGCUUGGUAUUAUUUUUGUUGGAUUGAUAUCCAUGCGGCUGUUUCGAAUAUAUCAUGGUCUAGUCAUAGAGAUCCAAGCCAAAUUUUUACUUGACUCCUUAUUUAAUUUGAUUUUGUUGAGUUAAAGAAAUUAAUGACUCAAACAAUCUGAAUUAUAUAAUUGUCACAAAAGGCGACUAAGCUUCAUGUGUUUGAGAAUGUCGGCGCUCAUCUUCAAUUGGUUGCAACAACCUAUUAUGUAGAAAUAUGCUUUACUUCUUUCUCUCUUGCUCUGGUUCUUUAUUCGUCCAUAUAAGCUGAUCUAUACUUGCUUCUCAGCCUGCCUGCAAUCCUUCCUGGCCGGUGAAACUGUUGGACGAACAGGACUCAUCUUUCAUGCGGGCUCUCUUUCAUUGGGAAAGCAAUCUACGUAAGUCUUCUCACUUGGAAAACAGCUCAUGAUCAUUUGAUGAAAAUAGACAGGUUCAUAAAAAUAAGUAGGAAGGCUAUUCAGUGAGUUUAGAUGGAAGCAAGCAAAUAGCUGCCAAGGGAAUAAAGAACCAGAGCAAGAGAGUCAAGAUAUCUGAUAGCAGUAGAGAAGAACGUUGCUCUGAUUUAACAAUGAGGUAUGUUUUGAGUAAGAUAUUUUAUUCUCAUCUGUAGAGCUUUCAAUAAAAACUGUUUUUUUUUGCAGGCAUAAUUCAAAGCAAAUCUCCUUGUCCGGAGACAGGAGAGCUUGGUUUUGCUAAUUUACAAACUUUGUGCACCAUAAUUACAUGCAAAGGGGUAGUCUAAUUUGUUCAUGUAAGGAUUUUGCAAGAUACAGACAUCUCUAGUAUGAUUCCUGAACUCUAAUAUUUUUAUCAGAAAAAAAACUAAUUUUUAUCUGUCCUCACAUGUCUAUUGUUGGAGUAUCAUGGAAUUUUGUACCUAAAUUGGGACAAUUUCGUAAGUUUGUAUGGGAAUUGUCGAGUUUUUAUUUGCAUGGCAUUAUACAUGGAUGAUCUUAUAAAUGAUAAUUACCUUCGUCUAAUGCAAAUUAUAGCGUCUAAUUUAAUUAAAUUGAAAAAUCAAUUAGAAUGAGGAUUCAAAGUGUUGCAAAAUAGAUACAUGCAUCUCGAACCUUUGCAUUAAAAGAUAGCUAUGGAGAAAGGAGCACAGGGAGAUAAAUCUCCUUCUUGGACCUAAUAUUCAUUCACAAAAUUUGGGUACUGUAAUAUAUGACCAGUCACAUUUUCAGAUGACAACAUGGCAAUUGCAGCAGCAAGAUCUUCCAUGCUGACCUCUUGCUUUCAGGUGUCACUAAGUUUUGAUUUCAUCUGCAUAAUGAUAGAUGCCUUUUUAAUUGCUUGGAGGUUCCUUUCGACGAUCAACUUUAUUGCCUCUUUCUUUCUUUUCUUUCCCUUAUAGUUUUUGUUAUUAUGUGAAAGCAUCAACCUACUACGAAUACGACGUUAAAAUAGUUUGAUUAAAAAUUUACAUGGACCCUCUCAACUAUAGGCCAUUUUGAAAUUGAACCCUCAAUUAUUUUUCUUUUGAAUUUGGCUUCCUCGACUUUUGAUUUUUUUGAUUCAUGCUAUUUUCACUUGGAGAAUUUGGGGCUGUCAAACAGCUUUAAUUUUUAAUGAUUCUCCUCUUCUAAUGUAUGAAAAUAAUAAAAAAAAAAAAUUAAAGUUUGAGGGAAUAUCAAUCGGAAGAAAAACAGCUGAGGGGUCUAUUUCAAAAUAACCUAUAGUUUGAGCGGGGAUCCCUUUUAACUUUUUCCCAAAAGCUUUUCUGCUUUUAACAAUCCAUGUUUACUUCAUCUUUUAUUUCGGCACUCAUACGGCUGAGCUUUGCUUUAAAUAUUUUGAUAUUUGAAACAACUUGGCUAAUUGGUAUCUCAGGCUUCCUACUUACUGCUAAAUUUGCUUCAGUAUCCAGCAUCAUAUAUUUUACUCGAUGACGAUGAAAUAGUUUGUUGUAAUAUAUGUUGGUUUUGUGAUCCUCUAUUACUUUAAUGUAGUGCGUGUAUAACACAAAAGUUGUCUGACUUAAACUUCUUCGCUUUCAGUCAUUUCAUGUUAUUUCUUUCUUAACUUGCAAGUGUGCAUAAGAACUUACAGCUACUUGCUGGAUACAUGCCUGAAUUUUGUGAGAAAAUCAUUCUAAGCUGUGUUGGGAAUUUGACUAGGUUUACAGAGGAUUUUAUCCGUCCCUAUAUUAGGAAUGUGACUAGGUUUACGGAGUACUUUAUCCCUACCUAUGUGAAUUUCAGAUCUGGUGAUUUUUUUUCUUUUUUUUUUUGUUUCUCUCUCUCAACUUUAUUUAAUAAUUUGUUUUUUGUAGACUUUUGUAUUUUUGACUGCCAUGUAAGGUACCCCAGGGAUGGUUCUUAAAGAGAGAGAGAGAAAAAAAAAAGGGGAAAUUUCUUUGAUUUGUUACAUGAUAGCAGCAUCAUCUGAGUGAUUGGUAAGUAUCUUCUAUAUGAUAGGAGCAAAUUUCUCUUGCAGGUGCUUUAUCGGAAGUGCACUGCUUCAAUAAUGUCGGAUAUAACAAAGUAUGCCUCUAUAACAUUUCCUUCGCAUAUAUUCCCUUACAAACCGAAUUCAUUAAAUUAAUUAUCAUGCUAUGUAACUGCCACACAUAUUCUUGCUAUAUCAGCAAGGCAAAUUUUUCAGUAUCUGGGUUAUAGUUGAAAAAGAUGCUUGGAUUGUACGAGCAAGUUAUAGCCUUUUGUUUAGAAGCCCCCACAUAAACUGUUAAUGAGUAUGUAGUUGGAGUUCAGUUUUGUAAUGAAUAUUUAGCGACAAAGUAUUUGUUUCUUGCUAACUUUUUUUUUUUUAAACCAUACUCCAGGUUGAGACGAAUUGUGGAGUCCAAGGGUAAAUUUAAACUUGAGAGGAUAAUACCUUUGGAGCAGUCAUAAAACGGUUCAACAAUUAUUUACUCGUCAAAAAUGACGAAUAAUUCCGAGUAGAGCCUCGACUACGACUACCCAAUAUUUCUUGCUUUUGCAAAUGAAGAGCACCACUCUACCUUGAUGUUAGUGGCAUAAUGUAACUUUCUAAGUUGGUAAUCAUGCUUUUAAGUUAAAGCUUUGUAGAGAGAGUGAGAAUUGAUGCUUUUAUAAAAACGAAGAAUCUGACAUUCAUUAAAUGAAUAGAGGUACGCAAUGCAAAUCCAUGACCUUGCGCCUCAUUUCUUGUUUAAUUUUCAAGUGAAAUUCCUGUUUUUUUACUUGAAACAGGCAUAAUUCAAAACAAAUCUUCUUGUCCAGUUUGAAAUGAAAUUUGAGCCUGUUUUUACUAAUUUAUGAAAUUUGUGUACAACAAGUCUUUAAAAAACUUUUUUUUUUUUGAAAGGUUUCAUUAGCUGUUUUAUCUGAAAGCGGCAUAAUCCAAAACAAAUCUUCUUGUCCAGUUGAAAUGGAAUUCGAACCUGUUUUUGCAAGCAUUCAAAGAAAGAACUUUUGCAUUCAAGGAGAAAGUUGAACUUGUUCAUGCAAAGAUCUCUCGUAUGAUUCCUUAACUAUGUAUAUUUUUCUUCUUAAACUGUAUUAUGUCACUAAGCUGUAAUGUUAUUAGCUUAAAAAAACCAAAAAAAAUAGAGCUUCACAUGUUGCAUUUAUUAUCUCUUUACAUAAUUGGUCAUUUGAUGAUAACAGGUUGGACUCCGAUUGCGCUAGAACAUAACAGAAGGCUUUUAGAUUUGGUUAUAGAGCCAACUCUCAAACUCAUGGAGUAAGUUCGGGGUGUGAAACUGCUAAACAGAGUAACCAAAUCGAACCAAUGGUUGAGGUCUGGUUUACAUUUUUGUUAUCAUUUUGAGAAAAAAAAAAAACUGGUUGGGUUUUGGGUCAAUAUGGUAGGAUUAGGAACCGUGUUAUUUUGAUUCAGCUUUUGGUUCUGAUCUUGAUUCUGCUGUGUUUGAUUUUGUUACUGCUUUUAUUCAUGAUUCAUGAACUUCCCGUUUGAAGGAAAAAAUUGAGGAAUUUGCAGAGUUUUUGCAUCUGGAGAAGGAUUUAGGUGCUCUUAUUCCUACUGGCAUAUUUGAUCUGAUUUUUUAUUUUUUAAAAUUUUGAAACAGAUUUCUAUAUUGCUCCUAAUUUUACUUUAUAGUACUUUUUUACAGUUCUAGCUGUAUUUACCUGCAGGUAGCUGAUUGGUAAAUGAAUGAGAAGAAAAGGGUUUAGGUAAUAAAUCUGAUGCUUCAACCGAAGUACUAGAACUAGGUGACUCUUUUCAUCUGAUGUGCUAUUUGUGUUUGUGAAUUUCAGUAAAGCCAAUAAAAUAGUAUCCAGUUUCAAAUAGUUUAGAGAGAGCUCUCUAGUCCAAAAUCUAUAUGAAUUCUGUGCAUGAUUCUAUCUUAACGUCACUUGUAGCCACGCAGGACAAGGGGAAUUUUUGUAUUGUCUCCUUAGCGACCAACAAUUGGAAAUUAGUUCAAGGAUUUACCUGUAUGGGCUCUCUUAACCUCAUCAUGAGUCUGAGGCAAAACAUUUUGCUUCAACUAUUUGAUUGGCUUUGUUGUGUUUAAUUACUCUGAAGAUUAUCUGAUUUAUGUGCUUUUUAUGCUCGUGCUAGCGUGAUGAUAGUAGUAUUACAGGGAAAUAAAAUAUAUUCUCCUUCCAGGUGCUAUUGAGUUUAUGGUGCCUCAUGAGUCUAUUGAAAUGCUGCUUUCUCAGAUUAUAGUGGAAUAUUCUUCUUCCAGGUGUGCAAACAAAGUAAAUUCUUCUUCCAGCUGUGCAAAUUGUUUUGUUUAUGGUGCCUCAUGAGUCUAUUGAAAUGUUCUCAUCAUUCUCAGAUUUUAGUAGAAUACAUAAACUUUAAUUCAAAAAAAAAGGCGUAUGGAAUCGGAAUCCGUAACUUAAAGGAAGCAUGUGGUGCAAAGAAGUUAUUGGAUCAAAAUUGCCAAAUUUUACUAUAUUAUCUGAAUAUUAUCGAAUUUUUGCAUUCUGCUGUUGGCUUUUGAACUCUUCGGGCAUCCAAUUAUAUGGGACUCAUACUUCAAUCGGUUGGCUAGCUGUUUAAUCUAGAUUUCUAUUUCGCUUUUGAUGUGAUGGAUUUGUUCAAAAUCCGAAUUUCUUGUUGGAUUUUUCUCUUAUGAAUUGUUUUGAUGGAUUCUUUUCACUUUUCUGCUUUUCUUUUCUUAGUUUAGUUUAUAGCUCGGAAUUCUUUGAAAAGUUGAUGCGUCUAAUUUAAUAUGAUACACUCGUCAAAUAUGAACUUCUUAUUUGGUUCCAUAGGAAUAUUUUUUUGUUGCAAUGAUAGGUCUUCUAUUUUACUGCAGAGUAUUGUUGGAUUUUUGUCUUAUGAAUUGUUUUGAUGGAUUCUUUUCACUUUUCUGCUUUUCUUUUCUUAGUUUAGUUUAUAGCUCGGAUUUCCGCGAAAAGUUGAUGCGUCUAAUUUGAUAUGAUACACUCGUCAAAUAUUUGGAAAAUAUGAAGUGCCAAAAUCUUGCAGCGAACUGGUCCUUUUUCGCCAAUUUAAACUACAUUAUUAUGUGUGAGGCAUAGUGAACAAUGAGAUUGGAAAGGAGUCGGCAAUGUCUAAUACAUAACAGGGCAAGGUAGUUGAAGAUACAAUUAGGUUUUCUCUUUCUUUGCUUUCUCUAGAACAAAUUAUCUUGAUAGAUUUUCCAUGUAUUCUUCUUGCUAUCAUUGCUACUGCCUUAUCUUAUGCGUUUUCUGGCAAGGUGGGAUACAUUUCUUUCCUUAGAAGUUUUUAUUAGGUGAUAAUGUAGUUCUUUUAUAGUUGAUCAACUCACACAAUCAGUAGAGCAAGCCAUAUGAAGCUUAAACGAGAUGAGCAUAAUAAUGUAAGAAAAAUAAAUGCUCUAGAAACUAGUACGCAUUCAUCUGAAUUACAUCAUUUUGUCUUUUGUUUAGUUUAUUCUCGAAUUUAGGUGCUUGAAAAAAAUACUGUUUUGGUUGAAAGUUGUUAAAAUAGACUCUGCACAAGAGAAGUUUAACUGUAAGUCGGAGUUUUCCCACAGUUUUGUUUAUCUCUUUGUUAAAUUAGGCCUCUAGAUUCUGUACAAUAUUCCAAAUCUUUUAAACUAACAAUUUUUGUUGGAGAGAGAUCCAUGUGGCUGUUUCAAAUAUAUCAUGGUCUAGUCAUAGAGAUCGAAGACAAAAUUUACUUGACUCCUAAAUUUAAUUUGAUCUUGUUAAGUUAAAUAAAUGAAUAACUGAAACGAUCUGAAUUAUAUAAUUGUCAUAAAUGGCAGCUAAGCUUCAUGUAUUCUAGAAUGUCGGCACUCGUCUUCAAUUGGCUGCAGCAAGUUAUUAUGCAGCAAUGUGCUUUACUUUUUUCUCUCUUGUUCUUGGUCUUUCUUCGUCCAUAUAAGCUGAUCAGUUAUCAUAUACCAGGAGAGAAGAACGUCGCUCUGAUUUAACAAUGAGGUAUGUUUUGAGUCAGAUAUUUUAUUAUCAUCUAUAGAGCCUUCAAUAAAUAUGCUUUUUUUGCAGGCAUAAUUCAAAGCAAAUCUCCUUGUCCAGAGACAGGCGAGCUUGGUUUUGCUAAUUCACAAACUUUGUGCAACAUAACUUACAUGCAAAGAGGUAGUCUAAUUUGUUCAUGCAAGGAUUUUGCAAGAUACAACCAUCUCUGGUAUGAUUCCUAAACUGUAAUAUUUUUAUCUGAAAAAACUAAUUUUAUAUGUUGCUUUUAUUGUUUCUUUAUUAAUUUGUUAUGGUUAUUUGUAGAACAGGUUGGACCCUGAAAAUUCAAAAGGUGUACCUAGUCAGAAGGUAAAGUGUAUUGGGAAUCCCUUCAACAAUACACUAGCUUAAAUUGGCCACCUCCACUUAUUUUUAUUUUUUUUUUCAUUGAACCUCCUUAACUUUAAUUUUUUGAAAUUACAUGAUUUUAUUUAAUUAAAAUUAUGAAUUUUAUCAAAUUAAUUAUUUAUUUCAUCAAAUUUAAUGGUUUGAUUAAUUUUUAGCGAAUGAAGUAAAUAUUUCACGUUUAAUAUUUUAACGGAAUUAUUAAAUUUUUAAAAAAUAAACUAUCUAGAAUAACUUGAAUAAAAAAAUUAUAAGUUAUGGAGGUGUUUAUUUGUUAUGGCCCAUUGUUCUUUUUUGGUGGUGUUCGGCUCAUUAAUUUCGAACGUUAAGCUAUAUAGUACCGUCUUUACUUUUAAGCUAUUGCCACUUUAUCCAUUCCCAUCAGUUCUCUUCUAGUUCUUAUCAUAAAAUGCAAUAAAAAUUUUCGUUGAUGUCUGGAAAUACUAAAACUGCCCUUUUUCGAAAGGUAAAGGAAUGGGAUAAAACCAGGGAGUUUCUGUAUUAGUAUUUCAUUCAAAAUUUCAUUUUAUGUUCCAAAAGAUUGUUGAUAAGGAACUGACAUGAGGAGGUAUAGUAAUAAUGAUUUAAAACAAUCAAAGGGUAAUGUUUAGGUUUUUAAAGUUCAGCAUGGCAAAGUAAUAACGGCUAUUUAGUUCAGAAGAGUCUUCUGCAUUUUAGUUCUCCUUUUUUCUAAAAAAAAUUAAUUAGCUGUAUGUACUGGACGAGAAUUAAAGUCUGUCUUUUUGUUUUUAUUUGAGACUGAAAUUUCAUCCUCUUUUGAGUGCUGUUGCCUGGAGAUUUCUUAACUGCACCAUAUCACGUGGAGAUCAUUUUUGGCAUGAGAAGAUACAAAGAGGAAACCUCGCAUUUACGACUACGUAGGCACUCAUUUUCACUUGGCCACAGCAAGGUAUAAUGCAGCAAACACUCCUUUUUGCCCUUGGUCCUUAGUCACCUAUUUAAACUGAUCUAUUAUGAUAUGCUGGGAGAGAUCUGAUUAUGUUUAAAAAUGAUGUGUGUUUUGAAAUUUGAAUCAUAUGUUUGUCAACAGUCAGCUAACUGUUUAUUCUAAUCAAUAAAUCUUUUCAAUAAAUUGCAUUUUUUGUAAGCAUACUUCAAAUAGUUCUCCUUGUCCAACUUGAAGUAGAAUUCGGACCUAAUUUUUCCUAAUUUAAAAACUUUGUGUACCCUAAUUACGAGAAACCAAAGAACACACAUGCAAAGAGAUAGUGGAACUUGUUCAUGCAAGGAUCUUGCAAUACAAUAGAAAACCCAAGGAUAAUAGUUUAUAGUUCCUCAGCCAUCUCUAGUACGAUUCAUAAACUCUAAUAUAGUUGGUUGAAAAACUACAAUUUUAUAUGUUGUUUUUGUCUCUUUAAUUAAUUGGUUAUAUUGGACAGGUUGAACCCCGAUGGGUUCAAAGUUCAAACAGUCCGAUACAGGUGUUAGCCAAAUUGGAAGACCUCAAAGAGGAAACUUGUUACAAAUGGCCAUUGCACUGAAGCAGGAAUUUACGUCCAAUCACGGAUUUACCCAGCGGUGCGAAAUUCUUCGAAAAUCAGCUGUUGCACGUUCAUUGAAGAUAAAAAUGUAAAACACUCUUUUUUCAAGGUAUAGGUGUAUUUCUCCUAUUUGUUUCAUUUAAUAAAAAUGUGAGUUACAUGUACAAACAAGUACAAAAUACAAUAAGUGAUGGUAAGAUACAACUCCCAGUUAUGAUAACUUUAACUAACUACAUAGGUACACUAUGUGGACUUUUCUUCCCAUUUCAACAGUUCAUCAAUAAUUCCUAUUGAAAAUUCUAUCGUUCCAUUCCUUCCACAUGUUCCAGGAGAAGGUGGUGAACGUUGAGUUCAUCGUGCCUUGCAGGUCUACCAGAAUGCUUCCUCUCAACAUUCUCAUGUUUCAGUAAUUGUUUUUUCCGUUUUUAUUUUUCUUCCAUUUUAAGUGAAUGAUCUUUAGGGUUACAAAUUCAUCCCAGGUUAAUCAUACAUAAAAUUUAAUAAAAGAGUCAUUUCGGAGGAUUCUCACCAGUAACCUCGAAUGGAACCGGAAUCCUUUCUUGUAAAACCAAGCCUUCUGCUUUUGCUGAAUGAUCUUUUAUGAUGUCAGCUCCAGUGUGGCUUCUUCUUGCACUCAUAUUAAGUCAGCAAGGCAACAUAGAUAUGUUUUGCCAGUGGGUUUUAUUCUCUCUUUGCAUUUGAAGUUAUUUUGAACUGAAAUUGCCAAAUUUUAUUUAAUUACCCAAGUCAUAUUUGUGAUUCUGCCACUGGCGUGAACUCUUUUGUCAUCCAAUUAUGGGACUCAAGCUCCAAAUGGCUGGUUACUAUUUUGGUCUAGAUUUAUACUUUACUUUUGAAGUGAUGAAUUUGUUCAAAAUCUUAACUUCUUGUUGGAUUUCAUGUAAAACUUGGGUUUUUUUUUACUGAGCUAUUUUGAUGGACUUUUGGGUUUUUUUUUUCUUUGAGCUUUUUCUUCCUUUAACUUAUAGCUGAGAACUUUGAAGGUGGUUGGUCUCAAUUCGGUGAUACAUUCAAUUAAAUAAAAAAUUCUUGUUUGGUUUUGUGUAAAAUAUUUUAUUGUUGAAGUGAUGGUUCUUCCUUUUGGGUUUUUUUUUUGUCUUUAAGCUUUUUCUUCCUUUAACUUAGAGCUUAGAACUUUAAAAGAAGGUGGCUGGUCUCAAUUCGGUGAUACAUUCAAUUAAAUACAAAAUUCUUGUUUGGUUUUGUGUAAAAUAUUUUAUUGUUGAAGUGAUGGUUCUUCCUUUUUAUUGCAGAGUCGUAGCUAGUGGCACCGUUGCAUCAGCUGCAGGAGAGAAAAUGCGGAGGUUUUGGAAAAUGUAUUUGGAAAACGUGAAGUGCCAAACCCUGUAGCUAGAUAGCAAGAACAAGUCACGAGGCUUGCCAAUAGAAUUUUUAAAACCGAGAUUCAAGAAAAUUAGUACCCUCCAUCUGUACUUCAGGUAAAUUCAUUAGUAAGUUCCUCAGAUUUCCUUACUAUUUUUGAAGAUUUGCAUCCUGCUGAACAUCACCGGAAUACAAAAUAAAAUCAUAAAAAUGAAUUUGUGUGAAAUUUUUAGAUAUCAUUUUGGUCACGUCUCCUGGAUUUUUCAUUCUGUGUUUGCAACAGUUAUCAUAGUAUCUUUUUUCAGUUAUCAUCAGUUAUCGUAGUACCAGUUAACUGUUCAUAUUUGCACACGAUUUAGUGUACACAUAGGAACCCGUAAUCAAAAUUUGAUGGGAUAUCUUCGCUUCAGAACAAAACAAUUAGAAUGAGGCUAGAUAAUAAUCUUAGAAAUGACUUCAGAAUAUCUUCCCUUGAUCUUGUAUUCUUAGAAUUAGUUUUACUGUCACCUAAAGAGGUAAUAAAAAUGAAGUUUGGUGUGUGAAAUGCAUGCAAAAUAGUAUAAUUGUAGUUUGCAGUGCUGGUAUUGUGCAAGGUACUAUUAGGGAUUAGAACACCUGAACAUUUAUCUGACAGAAAUCAUUAUUAAUGUUUUUAUUAUUUGAUUCCUUGUGACAUGAAGAUUGUUCAUCAACCAUCAUGCUCUUGCUAGCGUACUGUAUAAACUCACUAGUCUGAGAGCAACUUUAUUAUGUAAUAAUUUGUUACAUGACAAAAUAUUUGCCAUCAUGUUUCAGUUUUCUGAUCUCUUGAUGUUUAGAUAUAUUCAGCAGCCUAAGCGGACCAUUGGAUCAAUCUUUUACAUCUCCGAGAAUUGAUUUAAUCUUUAUUCCAAAUCUACUCAUUGUCAGAAAGUUCAGCAUCAUAAAUAGGGAUGAGGUGUACAACCAUCUCUCUACCUCCUAAUUUAGAGAAUUCACUCAAUGUAUGCUUCCUUCAAAAUGAUCUAGAUUUUGAAUCUUACAUUAAAUAAUAUUUCCUUCUGCAUGCCUAUCAAAAUCAUUUAAUCUCAGUACAUGUGGUCUUCAGCAUGCUAUAAGAUUUGCUGUAUCACUCUUUCUUGAACUACUCUCAAACAUGAAUGCAUGAUACAGUUUCUUGCUUUUUCCUAAAUGAAAUUCUCAGUUAAUAGACUGCCAAUUUGUAAUCUUUUGGCUUUUUUCAUUUGCUGAGAAUUGAUUUCUGAAAGCCACUAAAUAAAAGGCAUAAGAUGUUUCUUAUUACUUAUCUGGAUAUCGCUGCUUAAUUUCUAUGUGAUUACUAGAGCAAGCUCAGUGAAGAUUUCUUGGUGGGCUGCUUAAUUAGCUGUGAGUGUUAGCUCCAAUACUCACAUUCUACAAGGGAAAUCUGCCCCCACAUGUCCAUUGUGGAGUAUCAUGGAAUUUUGUACCUAAAUUGGGACAAUUUCGUAAGUUUCUAUGGUGGGUGAUAUACAUGUCUAUGGGAAAUGUCGAGUUUUUAUUUGCAUGGCAUUGUACAUGGAUGAUCUUAUAAAUGAUAAUUACCUUAGUCUGAUGCAAAUUAUAGUGUCUAAUUUAAUUAAAUUGAAAAAUCGAUUAGAAUGAGGAUUCAAAAUGCUGUAAAAAAGAUACAUGCAUCUUGAACCUUCGCAUUAAAAGAUCUUCCAUGCUGACCUCUUGCUUUCAGGUGUCACUAAGUUGGCUGCAUAAUGGUAGAUGCCUUUUUAAUUGCUGUGGAGGUUCCUUUCGACGAUCAACUUUAUUGCCUCUUUCUUUCUUUUCUUUCCCUUAUAGUUUUUGUCAUUAUGUGGAAGCAUCAACCUACUGCGAAUACUACGUUAAAAUAAUUUGGAUUAAAAAUUUACUACAUAGAUUCUCUCAACUAUAGGCCAUUUUGAAAUUGAAACCUCAAUUAUUUUUCUUUUGAUUUUGGCUUCCUCGACUUUUGAUUAUUUUGAUUCAUGUUAUUUUCACUUGGAGAAUUUGGGGCUGUCAAACAGCUUUAAUUUUUAAUGAUUCUCCUCUUCUAAUGUAUGAAAAUAAUUAAAAAGAAAUUAAAAUUUUGAGGGAAUAUCAAUCGGAAGAAAAACAGCUGAGGGGUCUAUUUCAAAAUAACCUACAGUUUGAGGGGGAUCUCCAUAAAUUUUCCCAAUAGGUUUUCUGCUUUUAACAAUCCAUGCUUACUUCAUCUUUUAUUCUAGCACUCGUAUGGCUGAGCUUUGCUUUAAAUAUUUUGAUAUUUGAAACAACUUGGCUAAUUGGUAUCUCAGUCUUUCAAGUUUCAACUUACUAUUAAAUUUGCUUCAGUAUCCAGCAUCAUAUAUUUUACUUGAUGACAAUGAAACAGUUUGUUGUAAUAUAUGUUGAUUUUGUUAUCCUCUAUUACUUUAAUGUAGUGCGUGUAUAACACAAUAGUUGUCUGAUUUAUACUUCUUCGCUUUCAGUCAUUUCAUGGUAUUUCUUCUUAACUGCAAGCGUGCAUAACAACUUAACACUACUUGCUGGAUAGAUACCUGAAAUUUGUGAGAAAAUCAUUGCAAUCUGUGUUGGGAAUUUGACUAGGUUUACAAAGGAUUUCAUCCAUUCCUAUGUUAGGAGCGUGGCUAGGUUUACAGAGUAUUUUUAUGUGAAUUUCGAUCUGGUGAUUCUUUUCUUCUCUCUUUUUUUUUUUUUGUUUUUCUCUCUCAACUUUAUUUAAUAAUUUGUUUUUAGUAGACUUUUGUAUUUUUGACUGUCAUGUAAGGUAGCCAGGGGAUGGUUCUUAAAGAGAGAUUAAAAAAGGGUAAGUUCUUUGAUUUGUUACAUGGUAGCAGAAUCUGAGUAUUUUGGUAAGUAUCUUCUGUAUGAUAGGAACAAAUUUCUCUUGCAGGUGCUUUAUCGAAAGUGCACUGCUUCAAUCUCGUCAGAUAAGACAAAGUAUGCCUCUAUAACUUUUCCUGUGCAUAUAUUCCUUUACAAACUGAAUUCAUAAAUUAAUACAUAACUGCCAUAUUUUCUUGCUAUAUCAGCCAAAAUUUUCAGUAUCUGGGUUAUAGUUGAAAAAGAAGCUUGAAUUGCAUGAGCAAGUUAUAGCCUUUUGUUUAGAAGCCCCCACAUAAACUGUUAACGAGUAAGUAGUUGGAGUUCAUUUUUGUAAUGAAUAUUUAGCAACAAAGUAUUUGUUUCUUGCUAAAUUUUUUUAAUUUUUUUUAAAAAAAAAAAAACUAUACUCCAGGCAAGAGACGAAUUGUGGAGUGGUAAGUUUAAACUGAGAGGAUAAUAUCUUUGGAGCAGUCAUAAAACGGCUCAACGAUGAUUUAUUCGUCAAGCAUGACAAGUAGUUCCGACUAGAGCCUCGAUUACGACUACCCAAUAUUUCUUGCUUUUGCAAAUGAAGAGCACCACUCUACCUUGAUGUUAGUGGCAUAAUGUGACUUUCUAAGUUGGUAAUCAUGCUUUCAAGUUAAUGCUUUGUAGAGAGAGUGAGAAUUGAAGCUUUUAUAAAAACAAAGAAUCUGUCAUUCAUUAAAUGUAUAGAGGUACGCAGUGCAAAUCCAUGACCUUGUGCCUGAUUUCUUGUUUUUUUUUUACGGAAAUUCCUUUUUUUUCCUUGCACCUGAUUUCUUUUUUUUUUAGGGAGAUUCCUUUUUUUUUUCUUGAAACAAGCAAAACUCAAAACAAAUCUUGUCCAGUUUGAAAUGAAGUUUGAGCCUGUUUUUACUAAUUUAUGAAACUUGUGCACGACAAGUCAUCACUGUUUAAAAAAGCGCGCCUAGGCGCAGCGCCUAGGCGCCUAGGCUCUAGGCGCACAGGCCAGCGCCUAGAGUAGCUCUAGGCGGGCGCCAUGAUUCAGGCGCGCGCCUAGGCAGCCUAGGCGCGCGCCUGGGCCUAGGCGCAAGGCGCUCUCAAGGCGCGCCUAGGUAAUAUUUAUAGUAACGGGUUUGGAUCCAGAUUUUAUUGGUCUAACGGGUUGAAAUAUCUAAAAUAAACCCAAUACCCUAAACUAAACCCUAAAUAAUCAUCAAUUAUUUCCCUAUUCCUUUCUCCCUGUCCGCUCUUCCCUCUCCCUCUCCGCUCGGCCCCUCUCCCUCUCCGCUCGCCCGCUCGGCCAUCUCUCUCUCUCCGGCGCUCCCUCUCCGGUUGUCCUUGCUUCCGGCACCUCCUCCUUGCUUCUUCAACUCGCUCGCCUCUUCUUCUAAGGUUUUUUGUCUCUUCCUUGGCCUCUCUCUAGUUUCUCUUUUAGUUUUUUGUGUAUAUUUCUAUUUUUUUUUUUAAAGCAGUGCUUUCUAUGCUUUUUUUUUAAGUAGAAAUUUUCUGUUUUAUUUUUUAAAAAAACAGCAUUUUACUUGAAAAUAAAACAGCAUUUUAACAUUUUAAAAAACAGCAUUUUACUUGAAAAAACAGCAUUUUACUUGAUAAGAUGAACUUUUUUUAAAGUAAAAAAAGUCCUUGAAAAUAAAAAAUGAUCAUACAUAUUUGCUAAAUUGCAGUUUAGUAUUUUUGAAUGGAUUCGAAAGCAACCGAAAGAGAUCCUGCAUGGAAGUAUGUAUCUUUAUCUUUCACAUGAUCAUGAUGCUUUUUUAAUGUUUUUGGCUUGAAACUUUAAACUUUUUAACUUUUAAGCAUAUUACUUUUUUAUGAUCUUGUGCUUAUGAUUAUAUGCUUUUCACAUCUAACUUUUCUAUAUGUUUGUGAAUUAAUACUUACAUUUAUGCUGUCCUUUAUUUUGAGAUAAAAAGGUAAUUUACACUUAGUAUAUGAUUUUAUAUAGUAUAUUUAAUGCUGCUUAACAAUUAGUAGAAAGAAUGGUAAGAAACUUCUUGAUUAUUUACUUAUUUCAAAAUUUUAUGAAAGUGUGCGCCUGACCUCUCUCGGGCGCGCGCCUGCGCCUUGCGCCUUGCGCCUAGGCUCCAACAGGCCUUUGCGCCUAGGUGCGCCUUGGGCUUUUUUAAACACUGCAAGUCAUUAAAAAACUAUUUUUUUUUCUUUUUCUUCUUUUUUUUUGGAAAGGUUUGAUUAAUUGUUUUAUCUGAAAGUGGCAUAAUCCAAAACAAAUCUUCUUGUCCAGUUGAAUUGGAAUUCAAACCUGUUUUUGCAAGCAUUCAAAGAAAGAACUUUUGCAUUCAAGGGGAAAGUUGAACUUGUUCAUGCAAAGAUCUCUCCUAUGAUUCCUUAACUGUGUAUAUUUUUCUUCUUAAACUGUAUUAUGUCACUAAGCUGUAAUGUUACUAGCUUAAAAAAACCAAAAAAAAUAGAGCUUCAUAUGUUGCAUUUAUUAUCUCUUUACAUAAUUGGUCAUUUGAUGGUAACAGGUCGGACUCCGAUUGCGCUAUAACAUAAUGGAAGGCUUUUAGAUUUGGUCAUAGAGCCAGCUCUCAAACUCAUGGAGUAAGUUAGGGGUGUGAAACUGCUAAACAGAGUAACUAAAUUGAACCAAUGGUUUAGGUCUGGUUUAGAUUUUCUUUAUCAUUUUGAGGAAAAAAAAAAACUGGUUGGGUUUUGGGUCAAUAUGGUAGGAACUAGGAACUGCAUUAUUUUGAUUAGCUUUCAGUACUGAUCAUGAGAAAUGGCUUAAAACAAACCAGCCGGUUAGUAUGUCAUAUUUUUAAACCAAACCGGCCUUAGUCCCUGUGGUUUGAUCUUAGCUCAUUGUACUUGACAUUGGAAGGUUAACGUGCGCAUUACCACGUGAUGAAGCGCAGGAUAGCAUGAAGGCAAUGGACGAGGGCUACAUAAUUGUUUCGCCCUCCAUGCGCCAUUCCGAUCUAAAUCGGGACCAAUUGCUCUUCUCCUUCUCUCCUCCUCUCUUCCACUUGUCGGUGACUCCAAAACCAACGGAGUCGAAGUGCAAACUAAACCCUAAGGUACUAACUCGAAUGCUCCUAAUCUUCGAAGGAUCAAAUAAAUCCCUUUUCCAUUGUAAGAAUUUGAUCUCUCUAUCUCUCCCUCCAAUGUGAUGAAGGAUCAGAUACCUCUUCCAUUCCCUCCAUCGAAUCCUCGAUUUGAAGCCAAGACUGAUCUCGAUCUUGACCUCUCUUGUCGAUUUGAGAUCACAGGAUCCCUGAUCUAUUAAAAAGUCCGAGUACGUUUUGAUCUAAAGAAAGCGAGAUGAUUCUUUGACGCGAACUAUAUAUCUUGCAAUGCUUGAUCGUGAUUCUGCUGUGUUUGAUUUUGUUCCUGCUUUUAUUCAUGAUUCAUGAACUUUCUGUUUGAAGGAAAAGAUUGAGGAAUUUGCCGAGUUUUUGCAUCUGGAGAAGAAGGAUUUAGGUGCUCUUAUUCCAACUAACGUAUCUGAUCUGAUUUUUUUUUUAAAAAAAUUGAAACAACUUUCUAUAAUGCUCGUAAUUUUUCUUUCUAGUACUUCUUUACAGUUCUAGCUGAAUUUACCUGCAGGUAGCUAAUUGAUAAAUGAACGAGAAGAAAAGGGUUUAGGUGUAAUCGAAGUUCUAGAACUAGGUGAUCUUUUCAUCUGAUGUGCUAUUUGUGUUUGUGAAUUUCAGGAAAGCCAAUUAAAAAGUUUCCAGUUUCAAAUAGUUUAGAGAGAGCUCUCUAGUCCAAACUCUAUAUGAAUUCUGUGAAUGAUUCUAUCUUAACAUCACUUGUAGCCACGCAGGACAAGGGGAAUUUAUGUAUUGUCCCCUUAGUGACCAACAAUUGGAAAUUUGUUUAAUGAUUUACCUGUAUGGGUUCUCUAAUCUCAUCAUGAGUUUGAGGCAAAACAUUUUGCUUCUACUAGUUGAUUGGCUUUGUUGUGUUUAAUUACUCUGAAGAUUAUUUGAUUUAUGUGCUUCUUAUGCUGGUGCUAGCGUGAUGAUAGUGUUAUUACAGGGAAGUAAAAUAUAUUCUCCGUCCAGGUGCACAAAUUAUUGAGUUUAUGGUGCCUCGUGAGUCUAUUGGAAUGCUGCUUCUCAACAUUCUCAGAUUUUAGUGGAAUAUUCUUCUUCCAGGUGUGCAAAUAAAGUAAAUUCUUCUUCCAGCUGUGCAAAUUAUUGAGUUUGAGUUUAUAGUGCCUCGUUAGUCUAUUGAAAUGCUGCUUCUCAACAUUCUUAGAUUUUGUAGAAUACAUAAACUUUAAUUCAAAAAAAAAGAGUAUGGAAUCAGAAUCCGUAACUUUCUUUACAUUUGAAGUUAUUGGAUCAAAAUUGCCAAAUAUUAUAACUUAUCUGAAUAUCAUCGAAUAUUUGCAUUCUGCUGUUAGUUUUUGAACUCUUCAGGCAUCCAAUUGUGGGACUCAAACUUCAAUUGGUUGUCUAGCUGUUUAAUCUAGAUUUGUAUUUCGCUUUUGAUGUGAUGGAUUUGUUCAAAAUCCAAAUAUCUUGUUGGAUUUCAUACAAAACUGUUGGAUUUUUUUUGUCUUAUGAAUUGUUUUGAUUGAUUCUUUUUGCUUUUCUGUUUUUCUUUUCUUACUUUAGUUUAUAGCUGGGAACUUCUUAUUUGGUUCCAUAGAGAAUAUUUUAUUGUUGCAAUGAUAGGUCUUCUAUUUCACUGCAUAGUCUUGAUGGUUGCACCAUUGCAUUGAAAUUGUAUUUGGAAAAUGCUAAUUAAAUGAAGUGGUAGCAGCCUACCAUUUUCUCAAAAAAAAGAAAGGAAAGAAAAUGUAUUUGGAAAAUGUGAAGUGCCAAAACCUUGCAGCGAGAUAGCAAAAACUGGUCCUUUUGCCCAUUUAAACUACAUUAUUAUGUGUGAAGCAUAGUGAACAAUGAGAUUGGAAAGGAGUCAGCAACGUCUAAUACAUAACAGGGCAAGGUAGUUGAAGAUACGAUUAAAUUUUCUCUCUCUUUGCUUUCUCCAGAACAAAUUAUCUUGAUAGAUUUUCCAUGUAUUCUUCUUGCUAUCAUUGCGACUCCCUUAUCUUAUGUGUUUUCUGGCAAGGUGGGAUACAUUUCUUUCCUUAAAGUUUUUAUUACGUGAUAAUGUAGUUCUUUUAUAGUUGAUCAACUCACACAAUCAGUAGAGCAAGCCAUAUGAAUCUUAAACGAGAUGAGCAUAAUAAUGUAAGAGACAUAAAUGCUCUAGAAACUAGUAAGCAUUCAUCUGAAUUACAUCAUUUUGUCUUUUGUUUAGUUUAUUCUCGAAUUUAGGUGCUUGAAAAAAAUACUGUUUUGGUUGAAAGUUGUUAAAAUAGACUCUGCACAAGAGAAGUUUAACUGUAAGUCGGAGUUUUCCCACAAUUUUGUUUAUCUCUUUGUUAAAUUAGGCCCGUAGAUUCUGUACAAUAUUCCAAAUCUUUUAAACUAACAAUUUUUGUUAGAGGGAGAUCCAUGUGGCUAUUUCAAAUAUAUCAUGGUCUGGUCAUAGAGAUCGAAGACAAAAAUUUACUUGACUCCUAAAUUUAAUUUGAUCUUGUUUAGUUAAAUAAAUGAAUAACUGAAACGAUCUGAAUUAUAUAAUUGUCAUAAAUGGCAACUAAGCUUCAUGUAUUCUAGAAUGUCGGCACUCGUCUUCAAUUGGCUGCAGCAAGUUAUUAUGCAACAAUAUGCUUUACUUUUUUCUCUCUUGCUCUGGGUCUUUAUUCGUCCAUAUAAGCUGAUUUGUUAUCAUAUACCAGGAGAGAAGAACAUCGCUCUGAUUUAACAAUGAGGUAUGUUUUGAGUCAGAUAUUUUAUUAUCAUAUGUAGAGCCUUCAAUAAAUACUACUUUUUUGCAGGCAUGAUUCAAAGCAAAUCUCCUUGUCCAGAGACAGGCGAGCUUGGUUUUGCUAAUUUACAAACUUUGUGGACCAUAACUUACAUGCAAAGAGGUAGUCUAAUUUGUUCAUGCAAGGAUUUUGCAAGAUACAGCCAUCUCCUGUAUGAUUCCUAAACUGUAAUACUUUUAUCUGAAAAAACUAAUUUUUAUAUGUUGCUUUUAUUGUUUCUUUAUUAAUUCGUUAUGGUUAUUUGUAGGACAGGUUGGACCCUAACAAUUCAAAUGGUGUACCUAGUUAGAGGGUAAAGGUGUAUUGGGAAUCCCUUCAACAAUACGCUAGUUUAAAAUGGCCACCUCCGCUCAUUUUUAUUUUUUUUCCCUUGCACCUCCUUAACUUUAAUUUUUUGAAAUUACAUGAUUUUAUUUAAUUAAAAUUAUAAAUUAUAUCAAAUUUAAUGCUUUGAUUAAUUUUUAGCGAAUAAAGUAAACAUUUAAUGUCUAAUAUUUUAACAGAAUUAUUAAAAUUUUAAAAAAUAAACUAUCUAGAGUUAACUCGAAUAAAAAAAUUAUAAGUUAUGGAGGUGUUUAUAAGUUAGGGCCCAUUAUUCUUUUAUGGUGGCGUUCGGCUCAUUAAUUUCGACUUUUAAGCUAUAUAGUACCCUCUCAACUUUUAAGCUAUUGCCAUUGUAUCCCUUCGCAUCAUUUCUCUGUUAGAUAUUAUUAUAAAAUACAAUACUAAUAUAUGUUGAUUUAUGAAAAUACUAAAAUUGCCCUUUUUGGAAAUGUAACGGAAUGGGGUACAGCCAGGGUAUUUUCUGUAUUAAUAUUUCAUUCAACAUUUCAUUUUGUGUUCCGAAAGAUAGUUGAUAGGGAACUGACAUGGUUUCAGUUUUUAAAGUUCAGCAUGGCAAAGUAAUAAUGGUUAUAUAGUUAAGAAGAGUUUUCUGCAUUUUAAUUCUUCGUUUUCUUUUUUUAAUUAGCGAUACCAACUAGACGAGAAUUGAAGUCUGUUUUUUUUGUUUUAUUUGAGACUGAAAUUUCAUCCUUUUUUGAGUGUCGUUGCUUGAAGAUUUCUUAACUCCACCAUAUCACGUGGAGAUCAUUUUUGGCAUGAGAGAGUACAAAGAGGAAACCUCGCAACAACAACUACUAAGGCACUCCAUUUUCACGUGGCCACAACAAGGUAUAAUGCAUCAAACACUCCUUGUUGCCCUUAGUCCUUAGUCACCUAUUUAAACUGAUCUAUUAUGAUAUGCCAGGAGGGGUCUGAUUAUGUUUAAAAAUGAGGGUAAGUUUUGAACUUUGGAUCAUAUGUUUGUCAACAGUCGGCUAACUGUUUAUCCUAAUCAUUAAAUCUUUUCAAUAAAUUCCAUUUUUUGUAGGCAUACUUCAAACAGAUCUCCUUGUUCAACUUGACGUAGAAUUUGGACUUAAUUUUUCCUAAUUUAAAAACUUUGUGCACCUUAAUUACAAGAAACCAAAGAAUGCAUUUACAUGCAAAGAGGUAGUGGAACAUGUUCAUGCAAGGAUCUUGCAAUACAACAGAAAACCCAAGGAUCUUGCAAGCCGUCUGCUCUUGCUGAAUAAUCUUUUAUGAUGUCAUCAAGACAACAUAGGUAUAUCUGCCAGUGGGUUUUAUGUUCUCUUUGCAUUUGAAGUUAUUUUGGGCUGAAAUUGCCAAAUUUUUUAUUUAAUUAUCCACAUCAAAUUUUUGCAUUCUGCCAUUGGUUUGAACUCUUCUGGCAUCCAAUUAUGGGACUCGAGCUCCAAUUGGCUAUUUACCGUUUUGGUCUAGAUUUAUAUUUUACUUUUGAAGCGAUGAAUUUGUUCAAAACCUGAACUUCCUUGUUGGAUUUCAUGUAAAACUUGAUUUUUUUUUCUUAUGAACUAUUUUGAUGGACUUUUGGGUUCUUAUUUUUCUGUGUUUUUACAGCUGAGAACUUUGAGAGGUGGUGGUUGAUCUCAAUUCAGAGAUGUAUUAAAUUAAAUACAAAAUUAUUGUUUGGUUUCAUGUAAAAUAUUUUAUUGUUGAAAUGAUAGUUCUUCCUUUUAAUUGCAGAGUCGUUGAUGGUGGCACCAUUGCCCCAAGCUUUAGGGGAGAAAAUGUGGAGGUUUUUAAAAAUGUAAUUUGAAAACGUGAAGCGCCAAACCCUAUAGCUAGAUAGCAUGAACAGAUUAUCUUUCCAGUUUUAACAAAUCACGAGACUUGCAAAUUGAAUUUUCGAAAGUGAGGUUCCAAAAAAUUUAGUACCCUCCAUCUGUACUCCAGGUAAGUUCAUUAGUAAGUUCCUCAGAUUUCUCUAUUAUAUUUGAAGAUUUCGUAUUCUGCUGAACGUCACCAGAAUACAAAAAUAAAAUCAUAAAAAUGAUUUUGUGUGAAAUUUUUAGAUAUCAUUUUGAUCACGUCUCAUGGAUAUAUGUCAUUGCAGUUGCAUCAGUUAUCAUCGCAUAUUUUUUCAGUUUUAAUAAUGCUUGACUGUGGUAUCCUCAUGUUUCUGAAUUCUGAUAGGAUCUUCUUGACAUUUGAUGAAAACAUGGCUAGAAUUUCACAAAAGGACUUGCCACUUUAUUUUUGUCAUUAUCCUAUUAUGAUGCCGUAGACCAAAAUUCCCAGUUAACUGUUCAUACUUGCACACGAAUUAAUAUACACAUAAGAAACCCUAUUCAAAAUCACUGAUUGGACAUCUUUGCUUUGGAACAAAACAAUUAGAAUGAGGCUAGAUAAUAUUAGAAAUGACAUCAGAAUAUUUUCCCUUGAGUUUGUAUUCUUGGAAUUAGCUUACUAUGUGUCCUACAUAGGUAAUAAUAAAAUGAAGUUUGGUGUUUGAAAUGCAUGCGAAAUAGUAUAAUUUUAAGUUUGCAGUGCUUGAUAUUUGGGCAAGGUACUAAUAGGGAUUAGAACACAUGAGAAUUUUAUCACAGAAAUCAUUAAUAACAUUUUUAUUAUUUGAUCCCUUCUGACAUGUGGAUUGGUCAUCAACCAUCAUGCUCAUGUUAGUGUACUUUAUAAACUCACAAGUCAGAGAGCAACUUUAUUAUGUAAUAGUUUGUUGCGUGACAAAGUAUUUGCCAACCAUCAUGUUUCAGUUUUCUGAUCUUUUGAUGUGUUUAUAUAUCAGCCUAAGUGGAACAUUGGUUCAAUCUUUUACAUCUCAGAGAAUUGAUUUAAUCUUUAUUCUAAAUCAUUUGUCUGCUCUGUUCCUUUUCGGUCAGUUCAGCAUAUCAUAAAUAGGGUAUGAGGUGUACAAUCAUCUCUCUACUUCCUAAUUUAGAGGGUUUACUCCAUGUAUGCUUCCUUCAGAAUGAUCUAGAUUUUGAAUCUUACAUCAAAUAAUAUUUCCUUCUGUGUGAGCCUAUCAAAAUCAUUUAAUCUCAGUACAUCUGGUCUUGAGCAUGCUAUAAGAUUUGUUGUAUCACUAUUUCUUGAACUACUCUCAAAGAUGAAUUCAUGAUAUCUUGCUUUUCCCUCGAUGAAAUUCUCAAUUAAUAGACUACCAACUUGUAAUCUUUUGGCUUUUUUCAUUUGCUGAGAAUUGAUUUCUGAAAGCCACUAAAUAAAAGUUAAGGCAUAAGUAAGGCAUAAGUUGUUUUUUAUUACUUAUCUUGAUAUCUCUGCUUAAUUUCUAUGCAAUUACUAGAGCAAGCUUAGUACAGAUUUCUUUCUGGGCUGCUUAAUUAGCUGUGAGUGUUAGCUAAAAUACUCACAUUCUACAAGGGAAAUGUUAAAAUCGGAACGGCGAAAAAUAGAUCCAGAAAAUAAUUUAAUGCAAGAAAAGAAAAGAUAAGGAAAGAACACACCGAUAUUUACGUGGUUCGGCCAACGGCUUACGUCCACGGGCGAAGACGGAGCAAAUAAUUUAUUAAUGUCGAAAAGGCGGAGUACAAAUAAGAUCUCUCAAAAGAACCCGAAAUUUAAUUAGAUCCGAAACGCCGCAACAAGAA